This 22-nucleotide non-coding RNA is filed under the name Arabidopsis thaliana (thale cress). Lineage: Eukaryota; Viridiplantae; Streptophyta; Magnoliopsida; Brassicales; Brassicaceae. The record is from RNAcentral.
UAUCUUUUGCUUCCAAUUGCUU